AUUGAACGCUGGCGGCAGGCUUAACACAUGCAAGUCGAGCGGAGCGGCGGACGGGUUAGUAAUUCCUAGGAAGCUGCCUGGUAGUGGGGGAUAACGUCCGGAAACGGGCGCUAACACCGCAUACUUUCAGACGAGCCUUGGUCGGAUUAGCUAGUUGUGGGGGUGAAGGCCUACCAAGGCGACGAUCCGUAACUGGUCUGAGAGGAUGAUCAGUCACACUGGAACUGGGACACGGUCCAGGCUCCUGCGGGAGGCAGCAGUGGGGAAUAUUGGACAAUGGGCGGAAGCCUGAUACAGCCAGGCCGCGUGUGUGAAGAAGGUCUUCGGAUUGUAAAGCACUUUAAGGUGGGAGGCGUUACCAGCAGAAUAAGCACCGGCUAACUUCGUGCCAGCAGCCGCGGUAAUUC
Molecule: ribosomal RNA, 407 nt
Filed under: uncultured bacterium
Lineage: Bacteria
Description: partial 16S ribosomal RNA
Rfam family: Bacterial small subunit ribosomal RNA
Source: RNAcentral